This 305-nucleotide ribosomal RNA is filed under the name uncultured bacterium. RNAcentral describes it as "bacterial SSU rRNA". It matches the Rfam family "Bacterial small subunit ribosomal RNA", at positions 337 to 659 of the family's 1533-position model. The record is from RNAcentral.
GCCUACGGGGCGAGCAGUGGGGAAUAUUGGGCAAUGGGCGCAAGCCUGACCCAGCAACGCCGCGUGAAGGAAGAAGGCUUUCGGGUUGUAAACUUCUUUUCUCAGGGACGAAUAGAUGACGGUACCUGAGGAAUAAGCCACGGCUAACUACGUGCCAGCAGCCGCGGUAAUACGUAGGUGGCAAGCGUUAUCCGGAUUUACUGGGUGUAAAGGGUGCGUAGGCGGAAUAUCAAGUCAGCGGUAAAAAUUCGGGGCUCAACCCCGUCGUGCCGUUGAAACUGAUGUUCUUGAGUGGGCGAGAAGUA